UGCACAUACAGUUUUUAAACUUUUUAUCUUGGAAUAGUUUCAAAUUUUAGGAAAAUUACAGGAAUAACACAAAGAACAUCACAUACACUUGCAUACAGAUUCCCCAGUUGUUUUUAUAUUUGCCUCACAUUGGCUUGAUCUCUCUCUCUCUCUCUCUUUCUCCACACACGCACACACGCACACACAUUAUAUCUAUUAUAUGUACAUUCUGUGUAUUUUCCCUCUAAGCUAGGAGCACGGUAACAGUGCCUAUUACCCUUUAGUACUUCAGUAUCUAGUUCCUAACAAGAGUACCCUCCUACCUAAUGAGAGGACAAUCUGGAAAUUAACAUUGAUAUAUUACUUCCAAUUACUUCUCAGGUCCCCCACCAUUUAUUUUGCUUAUUGUUCCAAUGUUGUCUUCUAUAGACAAAGGAGGCAAUCCAGGAGUAUAUGUUGUAUUUAUUCUGAUGUUAUCUUUCUAGGCUCCUUCCAUCUGGAAAUGUUCGUCUUUCCUUAUCUUUCACGGCCUUAGCAUUUUUGAAGAGUACAUGCUUGCUACUUUGUAAAAUGCUCUUUAUUUGGGGAUUGUUGGGUGUUUUAUCACUGUUAAUUUCAGGGGAUGCAUUUUCGCCAGGAAUACAAAUAUACCAAGUUUUCUCAGUGGAACAUCACCUGGAUUUAUCUCAUGACUAGGACUAGUGCUGUUAGUGUUUAUCAUUUGAGUUAAUAUAUUUGCCAGGUUCCUCUACUUUAAAGUUAGUAAGUAUUUUAUACUUUUUAAAUCAAAUAUUAGGUGCUUUGUGGGAAAAUACUUUAAGACUCCAUCCAUGCUGUACCUCGUCAGUUUUCCCUCAUUUGUGGCAUUCAUUGCUCGUUAUUGCCCGAAUCAAUUGCAAAAUGGUGGCUUUAAAAUUCCAUACUCUUUCUCAUUUAUUACCUGAAAUUCAACUGUAAGUUAGAGCUUAGAGGCAAACUCAAGCAACACGCAGACGAACGCUCAGAGGCAAGGCGCCUCUCUGUUGGUUUCCUUUCAUCCCGGCCGGCGUGACGCUCAGAUUAAGCGAGCUUCGAAGGAAGGAGGCAGCCGUGUCCGAACGUUCGAUCCUCCUGAGGCAAAAGGGGCUGCAGUGGCGUGCGGCUGCCAGAGCCAGCCGAAGACGGACGAGAAAGAGUUUGCAGAAAGUUUCCUAACUGAAAUUUGGAGACUGAAUGUGGACUGGAAAAAAAAAAAAAAAAGAACGUGGGAUGUUUUAAGCCCAGAUGACUGGACUGGUGGUAGGAUAAAAGAUAGGGGUGUCCAAAGGUGGAGCUGGUGUUGGGGAGCACAACAGGGUUAAUUUGAGGUCAGUGGAGCGUGAAGUGCCAGCAGGGUGUAGGACUUGUGUCCUCUGACAGUUGGGGGGGCCAAUGGUACCAGCUCAGGAGGAGGUCAGGGCUGGAAAUGAAGGUUGUGAUUCGUCUUCCCUGGAGUAGGCAAUGGAUGCGGGUAAGAUCGCAGUUGGAGCCAGUUUUGGAGAAAGAGAAGAUGGGUGAGGACAAAAUCAUUGUGAGUGAGGAGGGGUCCUG
This is a long non-coding RNA of Ursus americanus (American black bear), 1548 nucleotides long. NCBI's taxonomy places the organism in Eukaryota, Metazoa, Chordata, Mammalia, Carnivora, Ursidae. The record is from Ensembl.